UGGAAGAACGCAAUGCUACCG
RNAcentral lists this unclassified non-coding RNA (21 nucleotides) under Mus musculus (house mouse). RNAcentral describes it as "oocyte_clustered_small_RNA13864". Lineage: Eukaryota; Metazoa; Chordata; Mammalia; Rodentia; Muridae. The record is from RNAcentral.